RNAcentral lists this ribosomal RNA (507 nucleotides) under uncultured bacterium. RNAcentral's name for it is "partial 16S ribosomal RNA". It matches the Rfam family "Bacterial small subunit ribosomal RNA", at positions 28 to 507 of the family's 1533-position model. The record is from RNAcentral.
GACGAACGCUGGCGGCGUGCCUAAUACAUGCAAGUCGAACGCAUUUUCUUUCACCGUAGCUUGCUACACCGAAAGAAAAUGAGUGGCGAACGGGUGAGUAACACGUGGGUAACCUGCCCAUCAGCGGGGGAUAACACUUGGAAACAGGUGCUAAUACCGCAUAAUUCCAUUUACCGCAUGGUAGAUGGGUGAAAGGCGCUUUUGCGUCACUGAUGGAUGGACCCGCGGUGCAUUAGCUAGUUGGUGGGGUAACGGCCUACCAAGGCUGCGAUGCAUAGCCGACCUGAGAGGGUGAUAGGCCACACUGGGACUGAGACACGGCCCAGACUCCUACGGGAGGCAGCAGUAGGGAAUCUUCGGCAAUGGACGCAAGUCUGACCGAGCAACGCCGCGUGAGUGAAGAAGGUUUUCGGAUCGUAAAACUCUGUUGUUAGAGAAGAACAAGGAUGAGAGUGGAAAGUUCAUCCCUUGACGGUAGCUAACCAGAAAGCCACGGCUAACUACGUG